AAUACGCCAUCGGGCUAACUCUGUUCCCAGCAGGCAGCAGCUAAAUACAGAGUGGUGCGAGCGUUAAUAGGAUUUACUGGGCAGUCACAGCGCGCGUAGGUGACUAAUUAAGUCCAAAUGUGAAAUCCCCGAGCUUACUUGGGAAAUUGCAUUCGAUACUGGUUGGCUAGAGUAUGGGAGAGGAUGGUAGAAUUCCAGGUGUAGCGGUGAAAUGCGUAGAGAUCUGGAGGAAUACCGAUGGAGAAGGCACCCAUCUGGCCUAAUACUGACACUGAGGUGCGAAAGCAUGGGGAGCAAACAGGAUUAGAUACCCUGGUAGUCCAUGCCGUAAAACGAUGUCUACUAGCCGUUGGGGGAUUUGAUCCUUUAGUGGCGCAGCUAACGCGAUAAGUAGACCGCCUGGGGAGUACGGUCGCAAGACUAAAACUCAAAUGAAUUGACGGGGGCCCGCACAAGCGGUGGAGCAUGUGGUUUAAUUCGAUGCAACGCGAAGAACCUUACCUGGCCUUGACAUAGUAGAAACUUUCCAGAGAUGGAUUGGUGCCUUCGGGAAUCUACAUACAGGUGCUGCAUGGCUGUCGUCAGCUCGUGUCGUGAGAUGUUGGGUUAAGUCCCGCAACGAGCGCAACCCUUUUCCUUACUUGCCAGCAUUUCGGAUGGGAACUUUAAGGAUACUGCCAGUGACAAACUGGAGGAAGGCGGGGACGACGUCAAGUCAUCAUGGCCCUUACGGCCAGGGCUACACACGUGCUACAAUGGUCGGUACAAAGGGUUGCUACACAGCGAUGUGAUGCUAAUCUCAAAAAGCCGAUCGUAGUCCGGAUCGCAGUCUGCAACUCGACUGCGUGAAGUCGGAAUCGCUAGUAAUCGCGGAUCAGAAUGCCGCGGUGAAUACGUUCCCGGCCCUUGUACACACCGCCCGUCACACCAUGGGAGUUUGUUGCACCAGAAGUAGGUAGUCUAACCGUAAGGAGGACGCUACCCACGGUGGCCCAAGGGG
This 1000-nucleotide ribosomal RNA is filed under the name Acinetobacter seohaensis. RNAcentral's name for it is "bacterial SSU rRNA". It matches the Rfam family "Bacterial small subunit ribosomal RNA", at positions 485 to 1474 of the family's 1533-position model. The record is from RNAcentral. Lineage: Bacteria; Pseudomonadati; Pseudomonadota; Gammaproteobacteria; Moraxellales; Moraxellaceae.